UGAAUACGAGACGCUAAGGCGUCGAAGUAGUGUAUGUCAUACUUCCAAGAAAAGCUUGCACUGUCAUAGAUAAAAAACGCCUGUACCAUAACCGACACAGGUGGGUAGGUAGAGUAUACUAAGGGGCGCGAGAUAACUCUCUCUAAGGAACUCGGCAAAAUAACUCCGUAACUUCGGGAGAAGGAGUGCCUUAUUCGUAAGGUUGCAAUAACAAGAUCCAAGCAACUGUUUAUCAAAAACACAGGUCUCCGCUAAGUCGUAAGACGAUGUAUGGGGGCUGACGCCUGCCCAGUGCCAGAAGGUUAAAGAAGUUGGUUAGCAAUUGCGAAGCUGAUAACUGAAGCCCUGGUGAACGGCGGCCGUAACAAUAACGGUCCUAAGGUAGCGAAAUUCCUUGUCGGGUAAGUUCCGACCCGCACGAAAGGCGUAAUGAUUUGGAUACUGUCUCGGAGAGGGGCUCGGUGAAAUAGACUUGUCUGUGAAGAUGCGGACUACCUGCACCAGGACAGAAAGACCCUAUGAAGCUUUACUGUAACUUGAAAUUGAAAUUGGACUUUAUUCGCGCAGUAUAGGUGGGAGGCGUUGAUUAUAAUCUUGUGGGAUUAUUGGAGCCAUCAGUGAGAUACCACUCUUGUAAUGUUAGAUUUCUAACUUUGAAUCAUUAUCUGGUCAAAGAACAGUUUCAGGCGGGCAGUUUGACUGGGGCGGUCGCCUCCUAAACGGUAACGGAGGCGUACAAAGGUUUCCUCUGAACGGUUAGAAAUCGUAUCUAGAGUGUAAAGGCAUAAGGAAGCUUGACUGUGAGACCUACAAGUCGAGCAGGGACGAAAGUCGGUCUUAGUGAUCUGACGGUACUGAGUGGAAAGGCCGUCACUCAACGGAUAAAAGUUACUCUAGGGAUAACAGGCUGAUCUCCCCCAAGAGUUCACAUCGACGGGGAGGUUUGGCACCUCGAUGUCGGCUCAUCGCAUCCUGGGGCGGUAGUACGUCCCAAGGGUUGGGCUGUUCGCCCAUGAAAGCGGUACGCGAGCUGGGUUCAGAACGUCGUGAGACAGUCCGGUCCAUAUCCGGUGUAGGCGUUAGAAUAUUGAGAGGAGCCUUCUUUAGUACGAGAGGACCGAGAAGGACACACCUCUGGUGUACCAGUUAUCGUGCCAACGGUAAACGCUGGGUAGCUAUGUAUGGAGUGGAUAACCGCUGAAAGCAUCUAAGUGGGAAGCCCACCUCAAGAUAAGUAUUCUCAUC
RNAcentral lists this ribosomal RNA (1245 nucleotides) under metagenome. RNAcentral's name for it is "bacterial LSU rRNA". It matches the Rfam family "Bacterial large subunit ribosomal RNA", at positions 1564 to 2818 of the family's 2925-position model. The record is from RNAcentral.